This is a long non-coding RNA of Esox lucius (northern pike), 1083 nucleotides long. The record is from Ensembl. NCBI's taxonomy places the organism in Eukaryota, Metazoa, Chordata, Actinopteri, Esociformes, Esocidae.
GCUGGCACAGUGUUUGGGUGAUCCAGAAGUAAUGUUCCUGAUUAUAAAUAUUUUUGUAUAUAUUAACAUAAAUAGUUAUUGUAAGGGAUUAUAUUGACCCAGUAACCUAUCCGGGUCUGGUACUGGCAGUAGAUCUAGUAUUGAAGGGUCUGUACUGUAGUAAUGGACAUAUUCCAGGUGUCUGUAAUGUAGUAAUGGACAUAUUCCUGAGGUCUGUAAUGUAGUAAUGGACCUAUUCCUGGUGUCUGUAAUGCAGUAAUGGACAUAUUCCUGGUGUCUGUAAUGUAGCAAUGGACAUAUUCUAGGUGUCUGUAAUGUAGUAAUGGACAUUAUUCCAGGUAUAUGUGCUGUAGUAAUGGACAUAUUCCCUGUGUCUGAACUAUAGUAACGAACAUUAUUCCAGGUGUCUGUAAUGUAGUAAUGGACAUUAUUCCAGGUGUCUGUGAUGUAGUAAUGGACAUAUUCCCUGUGUCUGAACUAUAGUAACGAACAUUAUUCCAGGUGUCUGUAAUGUAGUAAUGGACAUUAUUCCAGGUGUCUGUGAUGUAGUAAUGAACAUAUUCCGUGUGUCUGUACUGUGGUAAUGGACAUUAGUCCAGGUGUCUGUAAUGUAGUAAUGGAUGAAUUCCUGGGGUCUGUACUGUAUUAAUGGACAUUAUUCCUGGUGUCUGUAAUGUAGUAAUGGACAUAUUCCUGGUGUCUGUAAUGUAGUAAUGGAUGAAUUCCUGGGGUCUGUACUGUAUUAAUGGACAUUAUUCCUGGUGUCUGUAAUGUAGUAAUGGACAUAUUCCUGGUGUCUGUAAUGUAGUAAUGGACAUUAUUCCUGGUGUCUGUAAUGUAGUAAUGGACAUUAUUCCUGGUGUCUGUAAUGUAGUAAUGGACAUUAUUCCUGGUGUCUGUAAUGUAGUAAUGGACAUAUUCCUGGUGUCUGUAAUGUAGUAAUGGACAUUAUUCCUGGUGUCUGUAAUGUAGUAAUGGACAUUAUUCCUGGUGUCUGUGCUGACAUUGGAGUCUGGUAUGGUCUUGGCCGUUCUGGUUCGAAGUUGCCCUGGGCUGGUCUGGCCUGUCCGUACGAUACAAAGG